RNAcentral lists this long non-coding RNA (1276 nucleotides) under Olea europaea subsp. europaea. The record is from RNAcentral. Lineage: Eukaryota; Viridiplantae; Streptophyta; Magnoliopsida; Lamiales; Oleaceae.
UGGCGGGUUCCCUGCUGUAAGAAUUUCUUUUACAAGUUAUUCAUAUCUCUGAUAGAUAAGUUUACUUAAUGAGUAUCAGCAAGAAAUAUUCUUUUCAAUUAUUCCCUUAAAAUUAUUUGAGUACUCACUUCAGAAGUUCCUAUUGCUGUCACCACAGAUUCCAAUUCGUGAAUGGCGUAAGCAAGUUGCUACUCACCGCCGGACGUUCAAGUAAGAACUACUUGUGAAACCGAUCAAAAAAAAACAAAAAACUACUUGUGAAAUAUAGAAAAUUUGUCUUUAUUUGAGCUACUAAAUCCAAGGACCUGCCAGAAAAAUAUUGCUUAGAACAACUUUCUGAUUGUCAGUGUCCUGUAUGUUAUUUUCCUUGUCCAAGGGCCAUUAAUUGAGCCUUUUACUUGCUUGUUUACAGAGAGUUCGCGGGAUCUAAGUAUUUUUAGCUCAAUCACUUGUUAUGAAUUUACUCAAGUUGACCAAAAACAAGAACCCAACAUACAGGGCUUGACCUUUUGUUUAUAUAUAUAUAUAUAUAUGUGUGUGUGUGUGUGUGUGUGUGUGUACAUGUAUAUACAUGAAUAAUCUCCUAAGUAUCGAUGACAUGGUAAAUCAUUUAAUUGGUGAAUCAUUAAAUAUAUGAGACCUACCAUUAACUUAUUCACCAAUUAAAUAGCGUGUUAUGUCACCGGUGCUCAGCUUAUAUUAAGUACCGAUGACAUGGUAUAUCAUUUAAUUGGUGAAUUUUUAAAUACAUGGGACUCUACCAUUAACUUAUUCAUCAAUUAAAUGACGUGUCAUGUCACGAACACUUAUAUAGCAUAAACACCAUCAAAGCCUAAGUGGAGUUUUUAGGCCUCCGCCUCCACCUCUACAGGGGGGUGGGAAGGUUGGAUUCUUUGACCCUGUUUUAUAGAUUCUGACUGGAGGGGGACAUGACUACCUUUGCUCAACCUUUAUUAUUGACCCACACAAAUAUGUGAAAUCGUUAUUCUUUUCUUAAUUGUUGAUAAUAAAUAUGAUUCUCCUUUGAAAACUUGGAUAUUUGAACGGGUGGUUCAAUUGUUUUUCUCCCUCUUGCGCACCAUUGACGGCCCCAUAUGGGCGGCCGCUGCCGCCGUGUUGCCUCGCUGCUACACCAAGUUGUACUAAAUCAUCAAAUUGUUUUUCAUUAAUUGAUGUACUACUGAUGUUUCUUUCGUUAGUGUUCUGGUGUGUCGGUAGUGGUGGUGCUGUGGCUCUUUAACAUUGUUGAAGCUGGGAGUGGUUGGGGAGAUUAGGG